Molecule: ribosomal RNA, 465 nt
Filed under: uncultured bacterium
Lineage: Bacteria
Description: partial 16S ribosomal RNA
Rfam family: Bacterial small subunit ribosomal RNA
Source: RNAcentral
CCUACGGGUGGCAGCAGUGGGGAAUAUUGCGCAAUGGGCGAAAGCCUGACGCAGCGACGCCGCGUGAGGGAUGAAGGUCUUCGGAUCGUAAACCUCCGUUAGCAGGGAGGAACGGUCACUGUGCUAAUCAGCAGUGAAUUGACGGUACCUGCAAAGGAAGCACCGGCUAACUCCGUGCCAGCAGCUGCGGCAAUACGGAGGGUGCGUGCGGUAAUCGGAAUUACUGGGCGUAAAGCGCUCGUAGGCGGUAUGUCAAGUCAAGGGUGAAAUCCCCGCGCUCAACGUGGGAACUGCCUUUGAAACUGGCAGACUGGAGUGUGUGAGAGGAUAGUGGAAUUCCAGGUGUAGGAGUGAAAUCCGUAGAUAUCUGGAAGAACAUCAGUGGCGAAGGCAGCUAUCUGGCACAUAACUGACGCUGAGGAGCGAAAGCGUGGGUAGCAAACAGGAUUAGAUACCCCAGUAGUC